GGGGAUGGCUAACAGCUCCUGAAUGUUGCUGUCCUUAUCCUUGUGAUCGAACUUCCAUUGAACCCAUCAAAUUGUCUUGAACAAAGAAAUUGCUUGUCUCAUCUGUGACUUGUGUCUGUUUUGCAAACAUGUGGGAAACCAGCCUGAAGACAAAGCUAACCUAGAAAGAUGACAAGGAGCACUGAAGACAAAGAUCGAAUCAUCCCAGAUUCCUGCCCCACAAAACAUGGGUUGCUGGCACAUGA
Mastomys coucha (southern multimammate mouse) is the source of this 245-nucleotide long non-coding RNA. RefSeq lists it as uncharacterized. The record is from RefSeq and is a predicted model, not a curated record. NCBI's taxonomy places the organism in Eukaryota, Metazoa, Chordata, Mammalia, Rodentia, Muridae. The transcript has 2 exons.